CUGGGAGAGGAGCCCCACAUCCUCUGUCUCUGCUGAUCCCUUUCUGUCCUCAGAACUGUCCUCAUAGUCCCCACCAUGCAGUCUGUCCUCAGUCUGCUUUCCAUCCUGACCCUGCUCCAAGGUGUGCAGGGUGAUGUCCAGCUGGUGGAGUCCGGGGGAGACUUGAAACAGCCUGGCGGGUCUCUGCGCCUCUCAUGUAAAGCCUCUGGAUUGACCAGCAGCUACUACAACAUGAUUUGGGUCCGCCAGGCUCCAGGGAAGGGGCUGGAAUGGGUCGCUAGCAUUUAUAAUUAUGAUAGUAGCACUUACUAUGCGGACUCUGUGAAAGGACGAUUCACUAUCUCCUGGGACAAGGCCAACAGCCUCCUGAGUUUGCAAAUGAACAGCCUGAAAACCGAGGACACGGCCCUCUAUUACUGUGCUGUAGACUUAGCCGGAUACUUAAAUCACUGGGGCCAAGGCACCAUGGUCACCAUCUCCUCAGCUUCACAACAAGCCCCACUUCUCUUCCCUCUCGUCCCCUCCUGUGGGGAUUCCCUAAACCAAGAAAGCUCACUGGCCGUGGGGUGCCUGGCCAAGAACUUCCUGCCCAACUCCAUCACCCUCUCCUGGGACUUCAAGAACAGAACCACUGUGGGGACUGAGAAAUUCAUAAACUACCCGACAGUCCUUAGUGGACAAGCCUAUUCCACGACCUCCCAACUGAUGAUCUCUGCCACCGAAGUCAUGAUGGGGCAGGACGACUACGUGUUCUGCAAGGCUAAGCAUGCUGUGGGGAACAAGGAAAUCAGAGUGCCCCUCAGAGGCCAGGGAAAGGCAUCAAAGAGAAGGGUCCCGAGAGACAGAAUCGUCGCCCAGCCCAGUAGGCCCAACGUGAGCCUCCACAUACCCACUCGGGAAGAAUUCCUGGGUCCUGAACUGGAGGGCACCAUCAUCUGUCAGGCCAAGCACUUCAACCCCAAGGAAAUUUCCCUCAAGUGGCUGAAGAACGGGGAGCUGCUCAAUGGUGGCUUCACCACCGAGGGCCCCACACUCGACGGUUCCAAAACCUACCAACUCUCCAGCUCCCUGACAGUAAGCGAUACCGACUGGUUCAAGGCCACCGACUUCACCUGUGUCGUGGAACAUCCGAAGACCCACUUCAUAGAGAUGAGGAACGCAUCGUACAAGUGUGCUGGGGUACCAUCAUCAUCCAUCAAGAUCUCCACCACCCCACCCUCUUUUGCCGGCAUCUUCACCACCAAGUCUGCCAAGCUGGUGUGCUCAGUCACUGGCAUGUCCACUUCUGACAGUCUGUCCAUCGUCUGGACUCAAUAUGAAGGAAAGGAGCUGACGACCAAAACCAGCGUGUCCAAAAUCCAGCCCGAUGGCACCUUCAGUGCCACGGGAGAGGCCUCAGUCUGUGCUGAAGACUGGCAGUCCGGGAAGAGGUUCACGUGUACCGUGUCCCAUGCGGACCUCCCAGCCCCCCAGAGCGCCUACAUCUCCAAGCAGAAGGAGGUAAAUCUCCACUCCCCAGCUGUGUACGUCCUCCCCCCUGCCUCGGAUCAGCUCAGCCUACGAGAGUCGGCCACUCUCUCCUGCCUGGUGAAGAGCUUCUCCCCGGCCGAUGUGAUGGUCCAGUGGCUGCAUAAGGGCCAGCCGGUGCCCCAGGACAAAUACACUGUCAGUGCCCCCAUGCCUGAGCCCCAGAGCCCCAACCUGUACUUCGCCUACAGCACCCUGACCGUGGCUGAGGAGGAGUGGAGUGCCGGGGACUCUUUCACCUGCGUCGUCGUGCACGAGGCCCUGCCCCUGUACGUGAUGGAGAGGACCGUGGACAAGUCCACCGGUAAACCCACCCACAUCAAUGUCUCCCUCGUGAUGUCCGACACGGCCAACACCUGCUACUAACUGCCCGUGGUCCCCCAGCGACCUCUGCCCAUCGCCCCUGCUUUGUCCCUGACUUCGUUAAUUUCCCCUCAGCUCACUUACAGGGUGGAUUCUGGGGGCUGCAGAGGACACUGAAUCCCCAGUUGUGUAUAUGAGAGAAUGAUGUCAUUAGAAUGAGGAAAAGUUGGCUGCCUUUUAUCAAAAUCAGAAAUAAAAAAAAAAUCAAUUUCAACCAA
Ornithorhynchus anatinus (platypus) is the source of this 2108-nucleotide non-coding RNA. The record is from the annotation of a RefSeq genome assembly. NCBI's taxonomy places the organism in Eukaryota, Metazoa, Chordata, Mammalia, Monotremata, Ornithorhynchidae.